CCUACGGGCGGCUGCAGUGGGGAAUAUUGGACAAUGGGGGGAACCCUGAUCCAGCCAUGCCGCGUGUGUGAAGAAGGCCCUCGGGUUGUAAAGCACUUUCAGUGAGGAAGAACGCCUGGUGGUUAAUACCCAUCAGGAAAGACAUCACUCACAGAAGAAGCACCGGCUAACUCCGUGCCAGCAGCCGCGGUAAUACGGAGGGUGCGAGCGUUAAUCGGAAUUACUGGGCGUAAAGCGCGCGUAGGUGGCUUGAUAAGCCGGUUGUGAAAGCCCCGGGCUCAACCUGGGAACGGCAUCCGGAACUGUCAAGCUAGAGUGCAGGAGAGGAAGGUAAAAUUCCCGGUGUAGCGGUGAAAUGCGUAGAGAUCGGGAGGAAUACCAGUGGCGAAGGCGGCCUUCUGGACUGACACUGACACUGAGGUGCGAAAGCGUGGGUAGCAAACAGGAUUAGAUACCCCAGUAGUC
Molecule: ribosomal RNA, 465 nt
Filed under: Vreelandella stevensii
Lineage: Bacteria; Pseudomonadati; Pseudomonadota; Gammaproteobacteria; Oceanospirillales; Halomonadaceae
Description: partial 16S ribosomal RNA
Rfam family: Bacterial small subunit ribosomal RNA
Source: RNAcentral